RNAcentral lists this transfer RNA (76 nucleotides) under Pelagicoccus sp. SDUM812002. Its description in RNAcentral is "tRNA-Glu". It matches the Rfam family "tRNA". Rfam says of the family: Transfer RNA (tRNA) molecules are approximately 80 nucleotides in length. Their secondary structure includes four short double-helical elements and three loops (D, anti-codon, and T loops). The record is from RNAcentral. Lineage: Bacteria; Pseudomonadati; Verrucomicrobiota; Opitutia; Puniceicoccales; Pelagicoccaceae.
GCCCUGAUCGUCUAAUCGGUUAGGACGCCACCCUUUCAAGGUGGAGACGCGGGAUCGUAACCCGCUCGGGGUGCCA